Molecule: ribosomal RNA, 798 nt
Filed under: Triticum aestivum (bread wheat)
Lineage: Eukaryota; Viridiplantae; Streptophyta; Magnoliopsida; Poales; Poaceae
Description: partial small subunit ribosomal RNA
Source: RNAcentral
AUGAAUUCAACAAAAUUUCACAUGAUGGAAGUGGAAAAGAACAAACAAUAUGAGGUGUACAAAUCACCAACUCAAGCACUCCUUGACUAUAACCCGAGAACAUUCACAGUGAUUGUUGACACAGAGUCAGAAACUAUUUCAUAUGUGUGUGGGAAAUUUGAGAAGGAUGGCAUUCUGUGUUGUCAUGCACUCAAAGUCAUUCAAGCAUUGAACGUAGAUGAGUUGCCACAAAAGUUUUUCAUUGAUAGAUGGAGACCUAAGGAAAAGAGAGUAUUUCAAGGUAAUGAAGAAAAUGCAAACCUUGAGGAUUUGGACGAGCAAAUGGCAUUCUUCUUAUUUUCAAGAAGGCUAGUUCAACUAGCUUCUGAGGCAUCAAAAAAUCCUGCAAGGAGGAAAAUGUUAAACGAGCAGAUAGGGAAUCUGGAGAAGUUAAUUUUAGACAUACCUUGCAUGCCAGAAAUGGAGCGACCAAAAUGUUCUGCUUCAGAUUUAACAGCUAUCACAGGAGAAAUAUUGACUUCAGAUAGCAAGGGGGAGAAAAAACUAAACGAUCCAGUAUACAUCAAACCAAAAGGAAGAAUCAAGAAAACAUGGAGGCGGAAAAGUAUAGUAGAUGAAAUCAUAUCAAAGCCUAAGGUGACAUGUUCGGGGUGCCAGAAGCAAGGACACAAUAUUACAGGUUGCAAGCAAAUAGAACAAGAGUCACCACAAAAACCUACAAAGACAGCCAAAAGAAAGCAUGCAAAGCAAACUAAAAGAGGAGAGCACGAAAAAAGAGAGGGAAAAUGCAAGGAGUAA